Molecule: ribosomal RNA, 285 nt
Filed under: Streptococcus agalactiae
Lineage: Bacteria; Bacillati; Bacillota; Bacilli; Lactobacillales; Streptococcaceae
Description: partial 16S ribosomal RNA
Rfam family: Bacterial small subunit ribosomal RNA
Source: RNAcentral
UUUAAUGAGAGUUUGAUCCUGGCUCAGGACGAACGCUGGCGGCGUGCCUAAUACAUGCAAGUAGAACGCUGAGGUUUGGUGUUUACACUAGACUGAUGAGUUGCGAACGGGUGAGUAACGCGUAGGUAACCUGCCUCAUAGCGGGGGAUAACUAUUGGAAACGAUAGCUAAUACCGCAUAAGAGUGAUUAACACAUGUUAGUUAUUUAAAAGGAGCAAUUGCUUCACUGUGAGAUGGACCUGCGUUGUAUUAGCUAGUUGGUGAGGUAAAGGCUCACCAAGGCGA